GGCCCUCCUCCGGGUGUUCACUGUCCUAAUUUUCUUCAAGUAGGGUUCCCGGAGCAGGGCCUCUGCUGUAGAUCUUAGGGGGCGGGACAGCAUAUAGGGAAAAAGACAUUCCUUCAGGUAUUCUGGUCCCAAGCCAUUUAGGGCUUUAUAGGUCAAUAGCAGCACCUUAAAUUGGGCCUGGACUUCAGCUUCAGCCAUUAAAUCUUCUGGGACAGAAGUGGGAGGUCAGAGGAAAAGGAAGGGAGGACAAGUCACAGUGACUCUGAUCACCUGCCAGGCAAAUUAUGAGUUGUUGCACAAAUCCAUACCAUAUAGUUUAUUCACAGGGUAGAUUAUCAUAUUGCACAAACUCAUUCAGUCAUUACUUUGAAUCACGUUCUGCUUCCUGCCAUAACAUUGUUGUAUGUUAGCUUGGAAUUUGUUGCUUUUGGACAUUAGUAAUAACAAUGUUAUUUUUCAUCAGGCUUGUGUAUUUAAAAUAUGCUGGGAUUUCAGUCAUGGUUGUCCUUGAUUUUUAACCAAAGUAAAAUAAUCUAGUUGUCUAAAUACAGGAUUAUAGACAUUUUGUCCAUAAUCAAAGACAAGUUAAUUGUGUUGAGUAUUGAUAUUUAAACAAGCUGUAUUUUAAACUCUCCCUAUUCUUAUAUUUGACCGGGGAACUUCCAAGUGCCUUGCUUGCCAGAUUGUUAAAAACAUGAUGCUGAUAUCUAGAAAUGUAAACAUUUCUCAGUGUUCUAUAGAGCUGGUUCCUAGAAAUCUGAUAUGAUUCUUCAGACAUGUUUAAUGAUGAAGAUCCUACAAUUGUUUCCUUAGUUGAAACAUUUUCCUCAAGAACAAUCAGAACUACAGCAAGACCCUCAUAUCCACACAGAUAAGUUCUAAGCCCCUCAGCUGAAACUGUGGAUGAUAGUGACACUGUAUUAUAUGUACUACUAUAUACUAUAUAUGCUUCUUUUUCACAAUUUUGUUUGUUCUUACCUCAACAUAUGAUUUUUUUCUUUCCUUAUUAAAUCAAAAAUUUUCACAUAUAGGAAGCACUUUAUGACUUCUUUUUCUGGCUGAGGUCAAUCAUGAUUAACUGAAAAGGCGGUAAACUGAGCCAGUGGUUACAGGGGUUCUGCAGUAUAUAAAUUUAAGGAUAUAAAGUUCAUAUUUGCAGUUCAAGAUUAAAAUAAACUGGCACUUAGACUGUUUAUCAUAAGAAGUUAAUCCAAAAGUAAAAAGGCCAGAUUCUUGAAUUUGCUUUCUCAAAAUGCUAUUUAUAUAAUAAAAGAGUGACCAAAAUAUUUUUGCAGCUCUGAUAAUUUUAUCUGCUUCAUGAGCUUUUAAUUUGAAAAAUGCUGUAUCAUUAAAAUAGAAGUGGCAUUUAUUGUUUGCCUGAAGCAAGUCACACUUUACCUGGACUAAGCUGGUAUAUUCAAUUAACACUGCUAAUUUGCCUAAUUUGGUGAAAAGUAUUGUGAUAGAGGACUACUCGUGUCAAAACUUUUCUGCUUUUUGGAACCAGAAAAGCUGAGGUACCAAAAUAUAAAAGAAGUCACACAUUAUAUACAUGUGCUUAUUUAUUUGACUGAUUUUCCACAAAAUUGGCCCAAGGGCCCUCUAAGCAGAUUACAAACAGUUAAAACAUCUUCUGACAAUAAAAAUGAAAACAAGUAGAUUAAAAUACAAAAACAGAGACAAUGUGCCAUCUUGAGUGGGUAGAGAUUAGUAAAGGAGCAGGAGGAUGCAUAGCCAUCUCCAAUUUCCAAACCAGCAGAAGUGUGAAUUAAUUUCUAAUUUUAAUGAAUCCAGGCAGUGGUUAUUUAAAAUCACUGUCCCAUCUUUUCCUCUCUUCCUUGCCUUUUUUGAAAUUGCGGUGUACUACUGCGUCCAGCAAUAAAGUAUUUGUCAAAAUCGUGUCUGGCAUGCUAUAUGAACUCUGUAGGAACAGCAGUUCCUGAAAAUGUUUUCCCUCCCCAUUUUUCAUCUUGACCAUUUUUUCUUUUCCCUCCCAAUUUUGCAUGCCUGGUAGCUCUGGAAUGUUGGAAGAAGGAAAUUUGCAAAAUUGUAUCUUCAGUGAGAGCUGGAUGUGAUGAUGAUGGCCAGCAACUUAGACAAAUUCAUGGAGGAUAAAUCUGUGAAUGGCUACUAGCCAUGUUGAUUAUAUGCUACCUCGUGAAUCCAAGGCAGGAGGCCUGUGCAUACCAUUUACUGGGAAAUGACUGAAGGAGAAAGCUGUCGCCCUCAUUUCCUGCUCAUGAGCUUCCCAUGGGCAUCUGGCUUACCACUGUGGGAAACAGGAUGCUGAACUAAAUAGGCCUUUGGUUUAAUCCAGCAGGGCUCGUCUUAUCAUCUUAUGGAAUAUGAGCAGUUCAGUCUUGGAUCUGUUACAUUUGAGACUGCAGUAAUAUCCAGCUAGAAGUGCUGAAGGUGAAGAGUUGCAUGGAAGGGGAAAGAUCUUGGAUCGAAAGCUAUGGCUGAGAGCCCUUGGCUUACAUGUAGUACUGAAAUUCAUAGACUUUGACAAGGUGAUUAGCAUGUAGAAAAAAGAAAAGUAGCAAAGGCCCCCUGAAAAAAAAUCCUCAAGAAACCUAUUGUUGUUACAUGUUGGCAAGUCUUUUUGUACUCAUGGUGACCACACAAAUGAAUGCCUUCCAAAAUGUCUAGUCCUUGACAGCUCUGCUCAGCUCUUGUCAACUUAAGCCUAUGGCAUCCUUUAUGGAAUCAAUCCAUCUCAUGUUUGGUCAAGAACCCUAGUAGGAGAAAACACAGAAUAAAAGCUUCCCCCAGUAAAACUAUUGAAUGCAUGAUCUCAUAGGUAGGAAGAAACCACUUGAGAACACAGUCACAGAGAUUGAGGGUGAUGGGAAUCAAAAAGAAAGUGGGCAGUAAUGUUGUCAUCCAAAGCUAUUCACAAGUGUAAGUGGGAUGUAAAGAAAGAAUUGGCUUUUUAUCGGUGCAACAGAAUCCUGACUUGAUGCACAAAGAAUUGCCUGAUAUUGGAGGGAGUGGGAGGCUUCCUGUUCUGAGGACUUCACAGUUAUAAUGAUUUCACUAUGUAUAAUAUUAAGUUAUCCCCUGCCAGACAACAAAGCCAUUGGGGAAGAGUGUCCUCACUGUGCAUUGUUCUUUUCAUGCGGUAUUUGGAAAGUUUAAGUAAGUUUUCCUUGCCUGUUAAGUAUACAGGUACCUGUAUUGUAAAUGUAGUGUAGAUUCCAACAGAAAGCCUUAUAUAUCUGUACCUGAUUGCUUAUUGCAUGGUAUCAUGGUGUUCCAUUACUACUCUAAAUCCUUAACCCUAGCUUGGAGAUACUCUCUCAUGAAAAAAUGGUGUCAAGGCGAUAAAUAUUUGUAAUGGAUUCGUAAUGUCCUGUUUUUGUUUCUGAAAAUAUGUCUUUGCUUAAUUUAAUCAGAUAUGCUCAGUUAUCUUAAAAACUGAUGGAAAAUGUGUAAUGUGCAAAUAAAAUAAGUGUGUAAAUAGGUACAUGAAUAAAAUAAGUAUAUCCAUGGAAGCUCCUAACAUUCAAAUUAAAUGUCUGAGAAACCAGAAGGAAGAAAGACAAGAGCUUCAGAUAUAUCUUCCACCAUGCCCUAAAGAACUCAAGUGUUCAGUGUUCAUACUUGAUCUGUUGGUUAUUUAAUCUAGCUGCAAUAUAUUCCUGGUGAAUGAGAAUCAAACAUACUGUUCCCAGAUUGACAGAAACUGCUUCCUGAAAUCUGAGUGGCAAAUUGUCACUCAGAUGUGAUGUAACUCUGAAUUGAAUUUUAAAGAUUUGCUUAAAACA
Long non-coding RNA from Varanus komodoensis (Komodo dragon), 3767 nucleotides. RefSeq lists it as uncharacterized. The transcript has 2 exons. Lineage: Eukaryota; Metazoa; Chordata; Lepidosauria; Squamata; Varanidae. The record is from RefSeq and is a predicted model, not a curated record.